This 958-nucleotide long non-coding RNA is filed under the name Medicago truncatula (barrel medic). RNAcentral's name for it is "long non-coding RNA (MTRU_LNC006828)". The record is from RNAcentral. Lineage: Eukaryota; Viridiplantae; Streptophyta; Magnoliopsida; Fabales; Fabaceae.
GGUAAUAAAUUAAUUUUCUACAUUCAUGACGGGUUUGGGAGUUGCGAAAUUUUAUGAAUGUGGAUUAGCAAGAAUUGCAAGAAUAACAAAUGAUCAUUUGUUUAAACCAUUAAGCCGAUGGUCACACAAUUCGGUUUGACGGAAAUCACUUCGGCUAAGCUUUAUAGAUGGUUCAUUCUUGCUUUUCUUGCCAUGAGACUUUGUAAUAUUUUUCGUUAUCCAUAAAAUUUAUAUAUUUCUUUUACAUCUUAACAAUGCAUGACCCUUUUAUUAUGAGAAAUGAAACUUUUUUCACCCAAUAAUUUAAGAUUAUUUAUUUUAUUGAAGAUUACAAUAUUUAGUGUAUUUGUAUUUUUUUUUAUGAGAUACAAUCAUAAUUUGUUUGUUAAUAACACAAGUUUCACAACAAGUGUUAUUUGGCAUUUGUUUGGUACUGUUUUUUUAUUGAUUAAUGAUUCAAUUUGAUUCUCUAAACACUCAUUCAUAUGUGUAUAUCUUAAAAUUUACAAUGAUAUAUAAUAAAACAUAAGACCCAUGCGUCUUUUGACAAUGCCAUGCCUUAGAGAGAAACUCGGACCAAAAUGCACAUCCAACCCUCUGUUCAUCCGUUGGAAUAACAUCUUCUGGAAUAGGUUGAGAACAUGCAAAGGAUCAUUAAAUAUUGAAUUCAUAAGUCAGAUUGAAAAAAGUGUUAUGGAACAUGGUAUUUUAUAAAUAUCUUCAUCAUAGUUGUCAAACCCGAACAACGUCUGAUAUAAGAAUGGAAGGAUGGCCACUAUAUCAAUAAAUAAUUAUUUUUUCAGUAAAUAAUUUAUAUCUUAAUUUAAAUAAAAACUACGUAUACCAAAAUCUUGCAAAUUAAGCAAAGAAAAUAAACACCGCUUGAAAAAAAUCAGAUAAGUAAUAAUUAAAUAAGGUACGAAAUGAGAAAUUGCAAAGGAUACUGACUCAUCAAUGA